This 74-nucleotide transfer RNA is filed under the name Candidatus Moraniibacteriota bacterium. RNAcentral describes it as "tRNA-Val". It matches the Rfam family "tRNA". Rfam says of the family: Transfer RNA (tRNA) molecules are approximately 80 nucleotides in length. Their secondary structure includes four short double-helical elements and three loops (D, anti-codon, and T loops). Further hydrogen bonds mediate the characteristic L-shaped molecular structure. tRNAs have two regions of fundamental functional importance: the anti-codon, which is responsible for specific mRNA codon recognition, and the 3' end, to which the tRNAs corresponding amino acid is attached (by aminoacyl-tRNA synthetases). tRNAs cope with the degeneracy of the genetic code in two manners: having more than one tRNA (with a specific anti-codon) for a particular amino acid; and 'wobble' base-pairing, i.e. permitting non-standard base-pairing at the 3rd anti-codon position. Lineage: Bacteria; Candidatus Moraniibacteriota. RNAcentral also lists the same sequence under 2 other names. The record is from RNAcentral.
GGACGUUUAGCUCAGUUGGUUAGAGCACUUCUCUUACAAAGAAGGGGUCGCUGGUUCGAGUCCAGCAACGUCCA